Molecule: unclassified non-coding RNA, 240 nt
Filed under: soil metagenome
Description: partial contains 5.8S ribosomal RNA, internal transcribed spacer 2, and large subunit ribosomal RNA
Source: RNAcentral
AACGCACGAGACCUGCGGACCUGCGGAGGGAUCAUUAACGCGAUCAAAACUUUGUUGUUGAUUAGAGAGAGAAUCGGUCUUGUACCGACUCUUUCUCUAUUCUACUUCAACAACUUGUUAGUAUUAGUAGAGUUUCAUCGCUCUGCUAGUACUAUCAAGCACCUUAGUGAUUUGUUAAAGUCUUUAACCUUAUGAUCAUCACACCAGUCAUCUGGUGAUUCAUCAUCGGAUGAUGGUCGA